GUUAAGCAGGGUCCCGCGUGUGGAAGCCCAGGACGGUCAGGUGACAGCGACGUCCUGGGUAGCGCUGUGCACGAGGGCAUGCCCGGCUGAGCAGCUGGGGUGACGAACCCUGUGUGCCAACUGCUCGUGCAGAGCGGGCCUGCAGGAAACAGACAGACGGCAAAGACAGAGCCGGGCUCCUAAGAACUGAAUCCAGCGGGAAAGACCAACGGGGAAUGAAAGCUCCGGACAGAAUACCGAUGAAAAGGGGACAUGUGGGUGUCCCCCCCAUUCUCACUGCCACGCCAGGAUGACAACCACAAACGCAGUGGAAAGUGGCUCCUGGCCACCGAGGAGAUGGUCUCCCCCACGCCUCCGCACACCUGCAUGAGAGUCCGCUGUCCACGCCUCGAAUGCUGACCAGGCCCACCGCUAUACUGAUAAACUCCAGGAUGCCUGUGAGACCAACAGCAGAGGGAGACAGGUCAGAGCACAGAUCAUCUCCCCUGGAGCGCCCACAUCCCUGGGAGCAUCUCCCCUGGAGCGUCCACAUCCCUGGGAGCAUCUCCCCUGGAGCGUCCACAUCCCUGGGAGCAUCUCCCCUGGAGCGUCCACAUCCCUGGGAGCAUCUCCUCUGGAGCGUCCACAUCCCUGGGAGCAUCUCCCCUGGAGCGUCCACAUCCCUGGGAGCAUCUAAGAGGAGGGCCGCACCUUGACCCGAGAAGUGUCUUCUCUUAAAACAACUGCCCCAGGGGGCUUCCCUGGUGGUGCAGUGGUUGAGAAUCUGCCUGCCAAUGCAGGGGACACGGGUUCGUGCCCUGGUCUGGGAAGAUCCCACAUGCCACGGAGCAACGAGGCCCGUGAGCCACAACUGCUGAGCCUGCGCGUCUGGAGCCUGUGCUCCGCAACAAGAGAGGCCGCGAUAGUGAGAGGCCCGUGCACCGCGAUGAAGAGUGGCCCCCGCUUGCCGCAACUAGAGAAAGCCCUCGCACAGGAACGAAGACCC
This is a long non-coding RNA of Balaenoptera ricei (Rice's whale), 985 nucleotides long. RefSeq lists it as uncharacterized. Lineage: Eukaryota; Metazoa; Chordata; Mammalia; Artiodactyla; Balaenopteridae. The transcript is spliced from 3 exons. The record is from RefSeq and is a predicted model, not a curated record.